CCUGUGUGUGUGUGGGUUCCCUCCAGCUGCUCCGGCUUCAUUCCACUUCCAAAGACAUGCAAUUUAAGUGAAUUGGAAACUUUAAAUUGUCCAUAGGUGUGCAUG
This is a long non-coding RNA of Thalassophryne amazonica, 105 nucleotides long. RefSeq lists it as uncharacterized. NCBI's taxonomy places the organism in Eukaryota, Metazoa, Chordata, Actinopteri, Batrachoidiformes, Batrachoididae. The transcript is spliced from 3 exons. The record is from RefSeq and is a predicted model, not a curated record.